This 253-nucleotide ribosomal RNA is filed under the name uncultured bacterium. RNAcentral's name for it is "partial 16S ribosomal RNA". It matches the Rfam family "Bacterial small subunit ribosomal RNA", at positions 524 to 776 of the family's 1533-position model. The record is from RNAcentral.
GACGAACCGUGCGAACGUUGUUCGGAAUCACUGGGCUUAAAGGGCGCGUAGGCGGCCCAUCAAGUCAGGGGUGAAAGCUUCCGGCUCAACCGGAAAAGUGCCUUUGAUACUGGUGGGCUUGAGGGAGGUAGGGGCAGAUGGAACUUCCGGUGGAGCGGUGAAAUGUGGUGAUAUCGGAAGGAACGCCGGUGGCGAAAGCGAGCUGCUGGAUCUCUACUGACGCUGAGGCGCGAAAGCUAGGGUAGCGAACGGG